GUGGGGAAUAUUGGACAAUGGGCGAAAGCCUGAUCCAGCCAUGCCGCGUGUGUGAAGAAGGUCUUCGGAUUGUAAAGCACUUUAAGUUGGGAGGAAGGGCAGUAAGUUAAUACCUUGCUGUUUUGACGUUACCAACAGAAUAAGCACCGGCUAACUUCGUGCCAGCAGCCGCGGUAAUACGAAGGGUGCAAGCGUUAAUCGGAAUUACUGGGCGUAAAGCGCGCGUAGGUGGUUUUGUAAGUUGGAGGUGAAAUCCCCGGGCUCAACCUGGGAACUGCAUCCAAAACUGCAUGGCUAGAGUACGGUAGAGGGUAGUGGAAUUUCCUGUGUAGCGGUGAAAUGCGUAGAUAUAGGAAGGAACACCAGUGGCGAAGGCGACUACCUGGACUGAUACUGACACUGAGGUGCGAAAGCGUGGGGAGCAAACAGGAUUAGAAACCCCGGUAGUCC
RNAcentral lists this ribosomal RNA (450 nucleotides) under uncultured bacterium. Its description in RNAcentral is "bacterial SSU rRNA". It matches the Rfam family "Bacterial small subunit ribosomal RNA", at positions 354 to 796 of the family's 1533-position model. The record is from RNAcentral.